This 427-nucleotide ribosomal RNA is filed under the name Eodiaptomus japonicus. RNAcentral's name for it is "SSU rRNA". It matches the Rfam family "Eukaryotic small subunit ribosomal RNA", at positions 571 to 998 of the family's 1831-position model. The record is from RNAcentral. Lineage: Eukaryota; Metazoa; Arthropoda; Copepoda; Calanoida; Diaptomidae.
CAGCCGCGGUAAUUCCAGCUCCAAUAGCGUAUAUUAAAGUUGUUGUGGUUAAAAAGCUCGUAGUUGGAUCUCGGCGGACAGAAGUCGGUCCGAAUGCUUUCGGUACUGGCUUGUUUGUUCGUGUGUUUUGCCAGAGGCAGGCGGGUGCUCUUCGCCGAGUGUCCGUUUGUGCUGGCAGGUUUACUUUGAAAAAAUUAGAGUGCUCAAAGCAAGCUCUUACGCUUGAAUAUUCGUGCAUGGAAUAAUAGAAUAGGAUGUCGUUUCUAUUUUGUUGGUUUUCGGAAAUCGACAUAAUGAUUAAUAGGGACAGUCGGGGGCAUUUGUAUUCAAACGACAGAGGUGAAAUUCUUGGACCGUUUGAAGACAAACUACUGCGAAAGCAUUUGCCAAGAAUGUUUUCAUUAAUCAAGAACGAAAGUUAGAGGUU